GGCAUUGUGGCCGAGUGGUUAAGGCGAUGCACUCGAAUAAUGCAUUGGGAUUUCCCGCGCAGGUUCGAAUCCUGCUGAUGUCG
Non-coding RNA from [Candida] anglica, 83 nucleotides. Lineage: Eukaryota; Fungi; Ascomycota; Pichiomycetes; Serinales; Debaryomycetaceae. The record is from the annotation of a GenBank genome assembly.